GUCUAUUGCCAUGCUGCACCGAACAAGCCCGAUUCCAUCUCAGAAGCUAAGCAGGGUCAGACCUGGUUAGUACUUGGAUGGGAGACCACCUAGGAAGACCAGGUGCUGUAGGUG
This 114-nucleotide ribosomal RNA is filed under the name Pteropus alecto (black flying fox). The record is from RNAcentral. Lineage: Eukaryota; Metazoa; Chordata; Mammalia; Chiroptera; Pteropodidae.